This 425-nucleotide ribosomal RNA is filed under the name uncultured bacterium. RNAcentral describes it as "partial 16S ribosomal RNA". It matches the Rfam family "Bacterial small subunit ribosomal RNA", at positions 354 to 796 of the family's 1533-position model. The record is from RNAcentral.
GUGGGGAAUCUUGCGCAAUGGGCGAAAGCCUGACGCAGCCAUGCCGCGUGAAUGAUGAAGGUCUUAGGAUUGUAAAAUUCUUUCACCGGGGACGAUAAUGACGGUACCCGGAGAAGAAGCUCCGGCUAACUUCGUGCCAGCAGCCGCGGUAAUACGAAGGGGGCUAGCGUUGCUCGGAAUUACUGGGCGUAAAGGGCGCGUAGGCGGACAGCUUAGUCAGAGGUGAAAGCCCAGGGUUCAACCUUGGAAUUGCCUUUGAUACUGGCUGUCUUGAGUUUGGGAGAGGUGAGUGGAACUCCGAGUGUAGAGGUGAAAUUCGUAGAUAUUCGGAAGAACACCAGUGGCGAAGGCGACUCACUGGCCCAAUACUGACGCUGAGGCGCGAAAGCGUGGGGAGCAAACAGGAUUAGAUACCCCUGUAGUCC